AGCUAUUUUCCUGGAUUUAAAAGGAGAUGGAAACCAGUACACCUCAUAAGAGAGCGGGAGAUCUGGACACUGCUCUGUGAGAACACUCUGCAACAGAGGUAGAGACCAGACCUCCGAGCAGAUCAUAAUUUUGAGAGGCAAAACUCUAGGCUUCAGGAUUCCCAGCUUCAGCAAAGAUCAUCUGCCCCACUGCAAGUCUGGAAACAGAGAUUGGAGGGACUUUAAGAAAGGGCAAUGGUGAUUAUGGUAGCCUUGAUUUCCAUUUCUUGUAAUCAUGGACAGCUUCUGAUUUUGGAGCAAUUCUGGGAAGGAUCCCCCACAGAACUGAAACUAGCAUCCCUCACCAACACAGUGGAAUGAGGGCUGAGGUCCAGGAUAAAGCAAAUAGAGAAAUGUUUUUUAUCUAGCUGAGAAUCAUGUUUUGCUGCCCUAAGUGGACAAAGUAACACAUUUGAAGACCCUUUUCACCAGGUACCAUUCAUAGCACACCAAAGCAUGCUUUUGCAAACCCACGUUUUAUGGAUGGGUCAACAUAUAUGAGAAAAGGGGACCCUGUUCUCCACCAACAGCAUUUGACUCUAUUACUGCUGAGGUCCUAAACAGUGCAGCAAGGAAAAAGAAAAGGAGAAGGAAAUAAAGAAGGAAAUACAGAAAGAGAGGGCAUAAAGACCUGACAAAGUGCCAGGAGGUCAGUGGUCACCUAAUGCUAUCUGCUGCGUCCUCCACAUGAAGUCAACUCCUCAUGCAUUUGAUCAUCUCACAGCAUCAUAAGGAGAAGGACGGACACCACAGACAUGUCGUAAAUGCUCCUUAUGUUGACAGCAGCCACCAAGCAGACCCCGUAGCUAAGACGAGAGGGAUACAUGCCCAAGCAACUCAUUUUGCACAGCAGCCGGUGGGACCCCGAUAUUCCUGCGCUGGAAUGCUCUUAUUCAAAGAGACAACAGAAGGGUGACCGGACUCAUCUAAGACUGUAGAGCUGGAAAUUGGAAAGCCUAGGUUUGAGCUCAAGUCGGCCUAACCCUAGUGCGCAGAUCCUUUAGUACUGUGCUAUUUUGGCUCUUCAAAUAAACUGAAGAUGGCUCAGAUGAGAGAAAAGGUAAAUAACUUUGGAAGCAAAAACAUGACAAUGUCCCCAAAGUCUGGAAUUAGAGGAAAAUUGAGAAACUGAAAGCAAUGGAACCUUACAUACCAGAGGAGACAGUCGUCCAUUCCACGCCCAAGUGAAGACUGUGGGGUUUCCGGAUGUGUGGAGUGCAGCUCCUCAGAGUCCCAUUACUGUGGACGCUCGAGACCAGCCACAUACAUGGAUGCACUCACUCCUCUGGAGGAGGGGGUAGGAAGAGGAUGCGGACGGAAUUGAAGAAAACGAAAGGGGGAAAAGCGCUA
This is a long non-coding RNA of Manis javanica (Malayan pangolin), 1389 nucleotides long. RefSeq lists it as uncharacterized. The record is from RefSeq and is a predicted model, not a curated record. Lineage: Eukaryota; Metazoa; Chordata; Mammalia; Pholidota; Manidae.